GCCCCUACGCUCUGGGACAACUCCGGAAACCGGGGCUAAUACCGGAUACGACCUCGGAAGACAUCUUCUGCGGUGGAAAGUUUUUCGGCUAGGGAUGGGCCCGCGGCCUAUCAGCUUGUUGGUGAGGUAACGGCCCACCAAGGCGACGACGGGUAGCCGGCCUGAGAGGGCGACCGGCCACACUGGGACUGAGACACGGCCCAG
This 204-nucleotide ribosomal RNA is filed under the name uncultured bacterium. RNAcentral's name for it is "partial 16S ribosomal RNA". It matches the Rfam family "Bacterial small subunit ribosomal RNA", at positions 128 to 334 of the family's 1533-position model. The record is from RNAcentral.